Molecule: ribosomal RNA, 440 nt
Filed under: uncultured bacterium
Lineage: Bacteria
Description: bacterial SSU rRNA
Rfam family: Bacterial small subunit ribosomal RNA
Source: RNAcentral
CCUACGGGAGGCUGCAGUCGAGAAUCUUUCGCAAUGGGGGAAACCCUGACGAAGCGACGCCGCGUGCAGGAUUAAGGCCUUCGGGUUGUAAACUGCUGUCGGCUGGGAAGAAACAGCAAACGAUUAAUAAUCGUAUGCUCUGACGGUACCAGCAAAGGAAGCCACGGCUAACUCUGUGCCAGCAGCCGCGGUAAUACAGAGGUGGCAAGCGUUGUUCGGAUUUAUUGGGCGUAAAGGGUCCGUAGGCGGUUUGGAUAGUCGGAUGUGAAAUCCCACAGCUUAACUGUGGAACUGCAUUCGAAACUUCCAGACUGGAGUGUGAGAGGGGUAAAGAGAAUUCCUGGUGUAAGGGUGAAAUCUGCAGAGAUCAGGAAGAAUACCAGUCGCGAAGGCGCUUUACUGGCUCACAACUGACGCUGAGGGACGAAAGCUAGGGGAGC